RNAcentral lists this ribosomal RNA (496 nucleotides) under uncultured bacterium. RNAcentral describes it as "partial 16S ribosomal RNA". It matches the Rfam family "Bacterial small subunit ribosomal RNA", at positions 28 to 506 of the family's 1533-position model. The record is from RNAcentral.
GAUGAACGCUGGCGGCGUGCCUAAUACAUGCAAGUCGAGCGAACGGACGAGAAGCUUGCUUCUCUGAUGUUAGCGGCGGACGGGUGAGUAACACGUGGAUAACCUACCUAUAAGACUGGGAUAACUUCGGGAAACCGGAGCUAAUACCGGAUAAUAUUUUGAACCGCAUGGUUCAAAAGUGAAAGACGGUCUUGCUGUCACUUAUAGAUGGAUCCGCGCUGCAUUAGCUAGUUGGUAAGGUAACGGCUUACCAAGGCAACGAUGCAUCGCCGACCUGAGAGGGUGAUCGGCCACACUGGAACUGAGACACGGUCCAGACUCCUACGGGAGGCAGCAGUAGGGAAUCUUCCGCAAUGGGCGAAAGCCUGACGGAGCAACGCCGCGGGAGUGAUGAAGGUCUUCGGAUCGUAAAACUCUGUUAUUAGGGAAGAACAUAUGUGUAAGUAACUGUGCACAUCUUGACGGUACCUAAGCAGAAAGCCACGGCUAACUACGU